Long non-coding RNA from Copidosoma floridanum, 469 nucleotides. Lineage: Eukaryota; Metazoa; Arthropoda; Insecta; Hymenoptera; Encyrtidae. The record is from RefSeq and is a predicted model, not a curated record.
UUUCUCUGAAUUGCUCUGUACUUAAAUUGUCACACAUCCACAUACACACAUGUACGUACAUGUACGCGUAACAAAUAUAUUAUACGCGUGUAUAUUGUACGUUUGCUCUGCUCUCUCAAGAGUAAAAACAGACGACCCACACUGAUAACCUUUUUUUUUUUUUUUCUCACCAUUUAAGUGCCAGAGCCGCGCCAAUGAAGAAAACCACGCGCGUUUCGAACACAGAGAAGCUCCAUUAUCGAGCAAAGCUCCAAGUGCUACUGUGUGUUUUCUCAGUAUACUUUUUUGUUUGUCAAAUAGUUUUAAAUUGAGUAAUGCUUGGUCUACUAUUAUUGUAAAUUUGUACAAAAUCGGGUGUAACGUUCAGUUGUGCGUCUUCGCCAAAGCGUAUUGUUGAUUUUCCAUCACACGCGGAGAGAUUCCAUCAUACAGUGAUGUUUUGAGUUGGAAAAAAAGGCAACGAUUAAAA